UGAACAUUGGCCAUAGCAUGUGGUACACAAGUUGUACUCCUAGCAUUGGGUUCAGAAGCUUAGGCUGGGAAUCUUAUGACUGAACUGCUCCUUUCUUAUCCCCAGGUCUUUCUACAAACAACCUGUCUAUCAUUUUCUCAACCAAGAUCCCCCAAGCCACCUUCUGCUUUCCUCAGAGCAAUGCUGUGUGAACCAGAUGGGAGAGAAUUCCACACCCAGGUCCCGGACAGUGGGGAUCAAAAACAUACAAAAUGCAGACGGGAAGCCAGAAAAUGGGGAAGAUGCUGUGCAAGCAAAGAAAACACAUAAUUCAGUGUUUCUACUGGUUAGACAUGUGUGCCC
This 342-nucleotide long non-coding RNA is filed under the name Rattus norvegicus (Norway rat). RNAcentral's name for it is "long non-coding RNA NONRATT031557". Lineage: Eukaryota; Metazoa; Chordata; Mammalia; Rodentia; Muridae. The record is from RNAcentral.